This 71-nucleotide transfer RNA is filed under the name Bacteroidales bacterium. RNAcentral's name for it is "tRNA-Glu". It matches the Rfam family "tRNA". Rfam says of the family: Transfer RNA (tRNA) molecules are approximately 80 nucleotides in length. Their secondary structure includes four short double-helical elements and three loops (D, anti-codon, and T loops). Lineage: Bacteria; Pseudomonadati; Bacteroidota; Bacteroidia; Bacteroidales. The record is from RNAcentral. RNAcentral also lists the same sequence under 1 other name.
GGUGGGUUCGUCUAUCGGUAGGACACAAGAUUUUCAUUCUUGGAAGAGGAGUUCGAUUCUCCUACCCACUA